UAUUAAGAGAGUUUAGAACUUUAGUCUGUUCCUUCCAGGGUCAGCCAUCUGCACUAAAGACUGUGCCCUGGCUGGAGGGGUGAGUUAUCUAAAAGAAACCACCACAGCCCCAGAGUGACUGUUGACAAGGGCUGCUACCCCACAAGGAUACUGUGAUGCCAUGCCUGGCCAUGAGGCAGUGCAGGGUGGUCCUUUGGAAGAAAUGAACUCAAAGAUUGCCUACUUGGAACUUCUUCUUUUUUGGAUGGGAUAAGUAUUGCUGACAUCAUGAAGCACAAGUGAAGAAGAAGGAAGUGUCAGGAAUGCCACACACAGAGGAGAAAAGAAGAUGGAGGAAAAGGAAAGGAACUCUGGGCACAGUAACCAACCUCAAAUCAGGCCUCAGGUCAUGUAAUUAGACUGUAGGGGAAUCUCGAGCCUCUUAAUACCUUGAGCAGCGUGACUGCCCUGUCAUCAGGGUGCACGUCACCUCCCCCUGUCUUUGGAGGGGCAUUGAGCUCUUUGUUAAUCUGAGCAAUGUGACCGCUCUGUAUCUGGGGUCUGGGUCUCUGCCCUCUUGCUCAUUUGGCUUUACGCCGUGCUCUGCCCCAUUAGUCAGCGUGACAACCCUGUAAUUAGGGUCUAUGUCACAAGCCUCUCUAGGAUAGGACAUAUUGAGCUCUUUGGUACUUUGAGAGCUUGAGCUUCCUGUCAUU
Molecule: long non-coding RNA, 695 nt
Organism: Malaclemys terrapin pileata
Lineage: Eukaryota; Metazoa; Chordata; Testudines; Emydidae
Exons: 3
Source: RefSeq, a predicted model, not a curated record